This 57-nucleotide transfer RNA is filed under the name Baylisascaris procyonis (raccoon roundworm). Its description in RNAcentral is "tRNA-Leu". The record is from RNAcentral. Lineage: Eukaryota; Metazoa; Nematoda; Chromadorea; Rhabditida; Ascarididae.
GUAUAUAUAGUAUAAAAUAAUAUAACAGAUUUAGGUUCUGUAGAUAGAUUGUAUAUU